RNAcentral lists this ribosomal RNA (386 nucleotides) under uncultured bacterium. RNAcentral's name for it is "bacterial SSU rRNA". It matches the Rfam family "Bacterial small subunit ribosomal RNA", at positions 29 to 416 of the family's 1533-position model. The record is from RNAcentral.
AUUGAACGCUGGCGGCAUGCCUUACACAUGCAAGUCGAACGGCAGCACGGGAGCAAUCCUGGUGGCGAGUGGCGAACGGGUGAGUAAUAUAUCGGAACGUGCCCAGUAGUGGGGGAUAGCCCGGCGAAAGCCGGAUUAAUACCGCAUACGACCUGUGGGUGAAAGCGGGGGAUCGCAAGACCUCGCGCUAUUGGAGCGGCCGAUAUCAGAUUAGCUUGUUGGUGGGGUAAAAGCCCACCAAGGCGACGAUCUGUAGCUGGUCUGAGAGGACGACCAGCCACACUGGGACUGAGACACGGCCCAGACUCCUACGGGAGGCAGCAGUGGGGAAUUUUGGACAAUGGGCGCAAGCCUGAUCCAGCCAUGCCGCGUGUGGGAAGAAGGCC